RNAcentral lists this ribosomal RNA (253 nucleotides) under uncultured bacterium. Its description in RNAcentral is "partial 16S ribosomal RNA". It matches the Rfam family "Bacterial small subunit ribosomal RNA", at positions 524 to 776 of the family's 1533-position model. The record is from RNAcentral.
UACAGAGGUCUCAAGCGUUGUUCGGAUUCAUUGGGCGUAAAGGGUGCGUAGGCGGCGCGGUAAGUCGGGUGUGAAAUCUCGGAGCUUAACUCCGAAACUGCAUUCGAUACUGCCGUGCUUGAGGACUGGAGAGGAGACUGGAAUUUACGGUGUAGCGGUGAAAUGCGUAGAUAUCGUAAGGAAGACCAGUGGCGAAGGCGGGUCUCUGGACAGUACCUGACGCUGAUGCACGAAAGCUGGGGGAGCAAACAGG